GGGGAAUAUUGCACAAUGGGCGCAAGCCUGAUGCAGCGACGCCGCGUGCGGGAUGACGGCCUUCGGGUUGUAAACCGCUUUUGAUCGGGAGCAAGCCUUCGGGUGAGUGUACCUUUCGAAUAAGCACCGGCUAACUACGUGCCAGCAGCCGCGGUAAUACGUAGGGUGCAAGCGUUAUCCGGAAUUAUUGGGCGUAAAGGGCUCGUAGGCGGUUCGUCGCGUCCGGUGUGAAAGUCCAUCGCUUAACGGUGGAUCUGCGCCGGGUACGGGCGGGCUGGAGUGCGGUAGGGGAGACUGGAAUUCCCGGUGUAACGGUGGAAUGUGUAGAUAUCGGGAAGAACACCAAUGGCGAAGGCAGGUCUCUGGGCCGUUACUGACGCUGAGGAGCGAAAGCGUGGGGAGCGAACAGGAUUAGAUACCCUGGUAGUCCACGCCGUAAACGGUGGAUGCUGGAUGUGGGGCCCGUUCCACGGGUUCCGUGUCGGAGCUAACGCGUUAAGCAUCCCGCCUGGGGAGUACGGCCGCAAGGCUAAAACUCAAAGAAAUUGACGGGGGCCCGCACAAGCGGCGGAGCAUGCGGAUUAAUUCGAUGCAACGCGAAGAACCUUACCUGGGCUUGACAUGUUCCCGACAGCCGUAGAGAUGCGGCCUCCCUUCGGGGCGGGUUCACAGGUGGUGCAUGGUCGUCGUCAGCUCGUGUCGUGAGAUGUUGGGUUAAGUCCCGCAACGAGCGCAACCCUCGCCCUGUGUUGCCAGCACGUCAUGGUGGGAACUCACGGGGGACCGCCGGGGUCAACUCGGAGGAAGGUGGGGAUGACGUCAGAUCAUCAUGCCCCUUACGUCCAGGGCUUCACGCAUGCUACAAUGGCCGGUACAACGGGAUGCGACAUGGCGACAUGGAGCGGAUCCCUGAAAACCGGUCUCAGUUCGGAUUGGAGUCUGCAACCCGACUCCAUGAAGGCGGAGUCGCUAGUAAUCGCGGAUCAGCAACGCCGCGGUGAAUGCGUUCCCG
RNAcentral lists this ribosomal RNA (1012 nucleotides) under uncultured bacterium. RNAcentral's name for it is "bacterial SSU rRNA". It matches the Rfam family "Bacterial small subunit ribosomal RNA", at positions 356 to 1376 of the family's 1533-position model. The record is from RNAcentral.